UGGGGAAUAUUGCACAAUGGGGGAAACCCUGAUGCAGCGACGCCGCGUGAACGAAGAAGGUAUUCGUAUCGUAAAGUUCUGUCCUAUGGAAGAUAAUGACAGUACCAUAGAAGAAAGCUCCGGCUAAAUACGUGCCAGCAGCCGCGGUAAUACGUAUGGAGCGAGCGUUGUCCGGAAUUAUUGGGCGUAAAGGGUACGCAGGCGGUUUAAUAAGUCGAAUGUUAAAGAUCGGGGCUCAACCCCGCAAAGCAUUGGAAACUGAUAAACUUGAGUAGUGGAGAGGAAAGUGGAAUUCCUAGUGUAGUGGUGAAAUACGUAGAUAUUAGGAGGAAUACCAGUAGCGAAGGCGACUUUCUGGACACAAACUGACGCUGAGGUACGAAAGCGUGGGGAGCAAACAGG
Molecule: ribosomal RNA, 402 nt
Filed under: bacterium
Lineage: Bacteria
Description: partial 16S ribosomal RNA
Rfam family: Bacterial small subunit ribosomal RNA
Source: RNAcentral